CGGCAACAGCUCAAAUUUGAAAUCUGGCUCUUUCAGGGUCCGAGUUGUAAUUUGCAGAGGGCGCUUUGGCGUUGGCAGCGGUCCAAGUUCUUUGGAACAGGACGUCACAGAGGGUGAGAAUCCCGUACGUGGUCGCUAGCCUUCGCCGUGUAAAGCCCCUUCGACGAGUCGAGUUGUUUGGGAAUGCAGCUCUAAAUGGGAGGUAAAUUUCUUCUAAAGCUAAAUACUGGCCAGAGACCGAUAGCGCACAAGUAGAGUGAUCGAAAGAUGAAAAGCACUUUGGAAAGAGAGUCAAAUAGCACGUGAAAUUGUUGAAAGGGAAGCGCUUGCAGCCAGACUUGCCUGUAGUUGCUUAUCCGGACUUUUGUCCGGUGCACUCUUCUGCGGGCAGGCCAGCAUCAGUUUGGGCGGUUGGAUAAAGGUCUCUGUCAUGUACCUCCUUUCGGGGAGGCCUUAUAGGGGAGACGACAUGCAACCAGCCUGGACUGAGGUCCGCGCAUCUGCUAG
This 507-nucleotide ribosomal RNA is filed under the name Neostagonospora caricis. RNAcentral describes it as "partial large subunit ribosomal RNA". It matches the Rfam family "Eukaryotic large subunit ribosomal RNA", at positions 99 to 609 of the family's 3401-position model. Lineage: Eukaryota; Fungi; Ascomycota; Dothideomycetes; Pleosporales; Phaeosphaeriaceae. The record is from RNAcentral.